AAAAAAAAAAGGAGGAGAGGGGGGCUGCGGAAAGGAAGGGAGAAAGAAAACAAAAACAAAAAAAGAAACAUUACACGGACAGGGACACGGAUCGGCCGAGGUACUGGACGUGUGGCCCUCAUCCUGGCCAUAGGUGCUGUUGCAGUUACUCCUAAUUUAUGCAAGUAAACCCAUUAAAGUGCAUGAGGUUUCUCAUGCAAUCAGAUAAUUGUACUAGUAAUGAAGUCUCACCCCUGCGGCCCUCUUGAAAUGAAUUUGAACUCCAUUUGAAUCUGCAAGUAUCUGCUCAGAAGUGGAUCUAGCUGAAGGUUUGCAGCCCACUUGAAGUCUCUCUACCUACUACGUCUACAGGAACCUGGACAGUGCUCAGAAGAGCGUAGCAGAAGUAGUAUUGAACUGAAACUGAUUCUUGCUAAUAAGUACUUUGGCUUUUACCCUGUCAUGAUUCGUGGAAGGAGAUAUGAAGUAACAAGUGUAAGACGUUUCUACGUGGCCAAGCAUUAUAUACCUAUACUGGCAUAAUUACAUCACUAUACUUACACCAGUAGAUUUACACCCGUCUAUGAAGUUCUAGUUACGGUAUUCAACUCAUUUUAAAAUACCAGGCAAAACUGAGGCCCAGAGAACUUAAGGCCCUGCAAAUUAUAAUAACAAUUUCAGCAGAUGAACAGUAGCCCUGGACUUACCCACCUGCCCACUGGGGUGUGUCAUGAGUCUGAAGACACCGAACCGGAAUGGCUUGCCCAAGGUCACAGGAGGAGCAUGAUGGCAGUGGUAAAAAAUACUCAGUUUGAUGGCUGCUUCCCAAGGUGGAGAGGACAGGCAGCUACAGGCUUUGAGAUGCUACAAAAUGCGAGCUUCCGCUUCCAGCUGGUACUUUAUCUUUCUACUCUGACUACUAGUGAAGAGCUAUUUCUACAGCAAUCUGAUUGACAAAUUGAUUAGAAGUUGGGAGAACGUGGCACUACAUUUCAAGAAGAAGCCUGUAAUUUAGAAGUCUUCAAGAAACUGAUUAAGGGCAGUUUUCAGAGUUCUGACUCAGUGGCGGGCAAGUACUACUUACAGGCCUGAUGUAAAGCCUAGUGAAGUCAACUGGAAAGUUUCCAAUGACUUCAUUAGAUUUUGGAUUGGGUCUGAAGUGCAGCAAUUUAUUCAACUCUGGAGCAUAAAUUAUGGACAUAAAACCCGAAUUAUUUGUGUGUCGCUGGAUUACUGACAGCAAAAUGUGUGAUGUCAGAAAAAUAAUAGGCAGAGAGAGCCUGCACAAGUUGGAAAAGCUUAAUAUAUAGCCAAAGAUAGGGGAAUACUCUUUGGCAAGAAUAGAGACAGUUUCAGUUCCAGUGCCGAUGGAAGAAAGUUGAGUAAUUUGACAGAUAAUUAUGUGAGAAGACGCUAUCUGUCUCACUCACCACUCUGCUGCCUGAUCAUUGGACUAGUAUCUGGAUGAGCUGACAGUCUGCUAUCACAGCAGGAAGAGCCCUGAAUCUGUAGCAACUGAUGGAAACCCCUUUGGAAAUGUGAAGAAUUCCAGCGGCCCAAACUCAGAGCAGAGCCGGACAGUGUCAACCAAACACAUCAGCCACAUCAGUUGCCAGAGUGAGUGUGUCAAUGCUGAAGAGAACUGAAUGUGAAUGUUACUUAAGCAACAAGAAAACAAACAACCUCCACCUGCAACACAACAUUUUGUUUUAGAGGAUGAUGUCCCAAAUAUUGUUUUUCCUAAAUUUCAGACUGUAUGUCUUGAUGAGUUAGGAGUGCUACAAGUAUCUAGGUACUUGUUUCAAUCAAAACUUAAUUAAUUUCCCUUUGUUUGAAAACCUCAGAAUGCCAACAUUUUGCCCUAGAUACCCCAGAGAAACUUACCAAAAUAUUUGUUAGAAAAUGGCCAUUUGGUUGAACAAACUUUUCUCGGGUGAUUAUUUUAUUUCAGCAUACAAUAGUCCGGUUAUUGAAGAGUAAUUCUAUUUUGUAAAAAGAUUUGUUAUUUUGGAAUAAACGAGUUUUUUUUUCUGGAAGAGCCUAUCCAAGCAAAAGCUGCUAUCCGGGAGUAGUUCAUGAUGAAACAGCUUUGUCAAUUCACUUAUAAAGCUGUGUAAAACCUUAGUAUUCAAAUAUUGAUUUCUCCCAGAUCAGGAGUAUUUAUAGCUUUUAGAAUUUGGUUCAGGUUAUUCUUUAGCUAGGCAUACAUAUCUUCAGCUUCAUCUUAUUAGCAAAUCAGAAAGGAUUUUUAGUUAGAGAGGUAAUUACAUAAGUUCACGGUUUAAGCAUGUUAAAAGAAAUACAAAAUCAGAAUUUAAUGUGAGUAAAAUACCUUUACCUGGGUUGGUCCUGUUACAUUGUAAGCAACAGAACUGGAAGAUGCACACACACUGUUCAUAAAGUUAAUGUGCAAAAUAACAUUAUAAUGUUAAAAAGAUACAAAGAUGCAAGUUAAACUUUAAAAUAAUAAGGUGUAUAUCUCCAGUUAACAAUUUUUGUCUUAUAUUAACUUAUAUGCACAAUUUAUUAAUACAGUAGUAUAUACUGAUUUUUCAAUAAAUGUUUUGCCAUUAGAAGCCCUCUCCAUCUCCCAAAGGCAAACAAAACACCAUUUGAAUGAGUAAAAAAAGCAUUUUAGCAUUCCUUUUCUCUUGAAGUUUUGCCAUAUUUGGACUCCCUUUGUUUUCACAAAUUGUUUUCACAAUCAAAACAGGGAUGCACAGGGAAAUUGGACAGGCAAGUGGAAAAUAAAAGCCAAGGCUUUUUUUUUUUAUUAUUAAACCAGAUGACACAGCAACGAAUGCAGAUAAGGUAAUGGACAAACACACCUUUCCUCAGAUCACACCUUUGCCUUAAAGUAUGGCCAUUUUUUACCACUAUAUCAGUACAAUAACACAUUCUCCUCACAAACCUUUCCUUGUUUACUGCCUCAUGUUGCCAUGGUCAUAUGAAUACUAUCCACGCUGGAACAAAAAAAAAUGGGAAAGGAAAAAGGGUACCAAGAAUAAACUCUUGCAAUAAUACUUGGAACAAAAAAUUUUGAGUAACUAGAAAUACUCGUCUUCUAAAAAUCACUAUACAAGAAGAGAUGCUUUUCUGGGAUAAUUUUAUCUCUUUAUUUUUAUAUUGGCUAUAGCAGAAACUGUCUUCUUUUUCUUCAACAGCAUGUUUUCCACUGGACAGAUCACAUACGACUUCACCUCACAGGUGCUGCUCACUCUUGCUUUGUUCCAGUAAAACAUGUACUCAACUUUACGUAUAUAUACUCCCUGUGAAUUAACAUCAACAGAUAAUAAACUAUU
Molecule: long non-coding RNA, 3281 nt
Organism: Columba livia (rock pigeon)
Lineage: Eukaryota; Metazoa; Chordata; Aves; Columbiformes; Columbidae
Exons: 6
Source: RefSeq, a predicted model, not a curated record